GUCCAUUAUGGUGGGAAGUGGGUUUGGUUGAAUAGUUCAUGCGAAAGAUCUUGCAGAGGAUUUAUUUGGUUGAUCAAAUGUGAAGGCCAACCUGCCUCGAUUUAUCAUAACUUUCUUGUAAAUUUAUUUCAAUAUUAUAGCACUAUAACAAGUAUUGCUCUUUUAUGCAAAAAAACAGAAAACAAAAAUAAUAAAAACAAUACAAGUUUUUUU
This is a long non-coding RNA of Magnolia sinica, 213 nucleotides long. RefSeq lists it as uncharacterized. NCBI's taxonomy places the organism in Eukaryota, Viridiplantae, Streptophyta, Magnoliopsida, Magnoliales, Magnoliaceae. The transcript has 2 exons. The record is from RefSeq and is a predicted model, not a curated record.